This is a non-coding RNA of Rattus norvegicus (Norway rat), 21510 nucleotides long. NCBI's taxonomy places the organism in Eukaryota, Metazoa, Chordata, Mammalia, Rodentia, Muridae. The record is from RefSeq and is a predicted model, not a curated record.
CGUCCGUCCGUCCAUCCGUCCGUCCAUCCGUCCGUCCACCCGUCCGUCCACCCACCCACCCACCCACCUACUAUCAAAUAUGAGUUUUGGCAACCAUCAGGUCCUCGUGUUUGCCUGGUAAGCACUCCAUCACUUGACUUCCUACUCCAGCCUUCACACGUGGUACUUCUAUGUAUAUUUCCAUUGUGUAAGCUUUAGUGAUGGGGAUUUCUGAUUCAUCAAAGUUAAUUCUGUCAAUUUGUUUGGGAUGUGGUGGAAAGGAGAGUUAAUUGCAGCGCUGGGAGCUCUAACACAUUAUCGCACAUGCUUGUGCACAUAUGUGACAGAGAACAGACAUCCUGAGUCUGGAUAACUUCUACUUAUUGACCUUGGAAGCUAUAAUAUAGUUUCCCAAAGGAAUUCCAGAAGUCUUGACUGGGGCCCAACAUCCUCCAUAAGAAGGUUGGCUGUGAGUCCUAUAUGCUGGAAGGCUCUCUACAGAUUCAGUCUCCUGUGUUACCCAAAACUCACUUCUUCUCAUGUUGGUUUUUGAACAACAAUAUUGGCAACAACAGAAUAAACAAACAUCUCUCGUGUAUGCAGCAGGCCAUUUCUUUUCAAAUGGAUUUGGAUGGCAUAAUUUGUUCAUUUGUCUAACCCUCUUUUACCAAGAUCAGAAGAGACAAAAAUCUUAUAGAAAGUGAUUGAAAAGAAUAAUAGAGGCUAGACCAACGGACUCAGUGGUUAAAGAGUACUUUCUGCUCCUGUGGAGAACCUGGCUUUAUUUCUUAGGACACACAUGGCAUUUCACAACUGCCGUGACUCCAGUCUUAGGGGAUUUGCUGUCUACUUUUGACCUCUGAGAGCAUCGGACACACAUGUGGUCCACAAACAUACACACAGGCAAAACACUCACAUAAAAUAAUAAAUAAACCUUAAAAAAAAAACUUAAACCUGUGAACAUAUCAAGACCUUAGACAGGGAACAAACCAACCUCUAACAAUUCAAUGGAUUUAUUCAGCAGGUGUAGGUGUAGGUGUAUUUCUAAAUCUCUCAAAAUUUCUGACCAACUGCAUUAAGAAGAUCUGAGAAAACAGUGCUAAACUCUUUCCAGAUGGUGCAUUUGUGUAACACUCUUCCUGACCUGCUACCACACUCACACUUUGUAGCAGAUAUAUACAAGUGUUUCCUGGGUGAGAACAGGUCACAAGGGAGAGGCUGCCUUAAAGGGGAUUUGUAUUAAUGUCUGACUGAGUUCUUGAGCCCAUGCUGGGCUCUACCGCCAACUUUGAGCCAUCCUAGGAAUAUUCCUCAGUCCCCCGUAAACUUCCGCAUCAACCAAUAAUGUGGCUAGUUUAAAGAGUUUUACUAAGGACAGUGAAAUGAAGAAUGGCUGGCCUGGCCUGGCCUGGCAGUAUAUGCCUUUAAUUCCAGCACUCAGGAGGACAGAGGCAGGUGGCUAUCUAUGAGUUCAAGGCCAGCCUUGUCUACAUAGUGAGUUCCAGGACAGUCAUGGCCAUGUAGACAGAGACUCUGUCUCAAGAUACAUAAACAAAUGAAAAAAAAUAAUGUCUGGCCCAUGGGGCUGGGAAAAUGGCAUAGUUGGUAAAAUACCUGCCAGGCAAGCAUGAGGCUCUUAGUUUUCUCUAUUAGUCAAACAGAAGAAGAGGAGAGGGGAAUGUUGCUUCUGUUGUCAUUGUAGCUGUGUGUUUUAUUUUUGGAGGGAGGUUGCAAGGUGGGGGUGUAUGGUGCUAAUUCACAAAGAAUCAAUAAAAAGUUAAAAACAAAACAAAACACAACAACAAAACUGAGAAGUUUCUCAGCCGUCCCUGGGACACUGAGGAGAAGUUUCUCAGCCGUCCCUGGAACCUGGAGGCUGAACUUGGGCUACUUCGUGGGUUCUUUUUCCUUCCAUCCUUCUCUACCUUUUCCCCAUCCCUUCAACUCCACAACACUGUAUAGAAGAGGGAAAAGGAUAGAAAGGAAAGGAGGCAAAAUUAUCAGUAUACUACUUCCUGUUGAUCACAGCCAUUGAGUUCCCUGGGGCAAGUUUGAAUCCACUGUCAGGAUAUCUAAUUUCUUCUUUUUCUAUUACUUCUUCACAUGUGACUACUUAACAAACCAUGACCAACAGCAACCAACCAACGACCCACCACACCUUUCAGGGCCCUAGCAUUAAUAUACCCUCUGAAAAGUCCCCAGAGUUCUAAAUGUCACACAACACAUAAACCGUAUGCCACUGGCAAAACCACACUCCUGCAUGAGGGGAGUCCCAGUCAGCUGCUGUGGACAAUCUGAAGCAGCCCCAUAUCCCGCACCCCGGAUUAAAAUGAAAGCCCAGUCCUACUUCUGUGGUUUUGUUUUUUUAAAGAAACCAAAGUUCUCACUGCAGACACCAAAAGAGGCCAGGGAUUCUAUGUCUACCCAUGGUCUGGGUCCAUCUGACUAUGAGUGCAGUCCUGUGAUACUCUCAUUAAUAACUGAAAUUAUGUACUACAAGUGGAAAUUUGAAAAAUGCUUGUCCAUUUAGGUUCAUGUAUAUUUUGGGGGCAGAUUUAAUGUUUUCCCAGCACUUGAGACCCUGAGACCUAUUGUGUGAGUGACCUUCCAGGGCAUGGAAGAGAACGGACAGAACAGCCAGUCAACCGACUGCAGGCUCCAUGAGCAAGUCCUCAAUGGGACCAGCUGAACCUCUCACACAAUGGGAUGCCCAAGCCCUGUCUAGAAUGCUGAUUUACAGCAGUGUGAGGUAAACAAGUGACCGCUUCGGGCCCCUAGAUUUGGGGGUAUUCUGUGACAAAACGUAAGUGACAUUUUCUAAAACCCGAGUGUCCCGCUUUCCUGCUUGUUUUACAUACUACUAUGUUCUUAGAACAAAUUAUUAUUAUUUUUUUGUUUAGUUGAGUGGGCUUCUAUUCCUUGUCACACAAGCUAUUUAGCAACAAAGUCACAGGUAGAUGACAAGAUGGGGUCUGUAGGGUCUGUGGGGUCUGUGGGUAGGUAGGCAUUGGUAGUUAGAACCCUUUAGGCUUGUCUGGCUACUGGGCAAAACCAUUUCAGCUCCAUUACUCUUCUUAACCGACGCUCACACUGUCCACAAGGUGAUGGGACAGUUCUACAACACAAAGACAAGCCUCUAGCUCUAAGUAAUGAGCUGUCAUUGUACCAGAGAGUCUUUCUGGGACAAGAAAUUCAAUGCCUUUGGCCUGGGUGAACCUAAGCUGAAGUGUGUGUGUGUGUAUGUGUGUGUGCGUGUGAUGUGAAAAUACCAUAUAUGUAGCCUUGUGCUCUACACUUGGGCAUUGCUAGGGACCAUCUUGAAUCUCCUUUGCAGCUAAACAUGCAGUAGUACACUAGGUGGUAUCUGUUGCCUCACCUAUGCACUUGUGACAGAAGUCAAGCUGAGCCUAACAGUACCUACAGCUAGGUAUUCUGUCCCAUGAGAAACCCUGAGACCCGGGUCAUGGCCUAUUAUAACUGUGUUUUAGGAAUGGGGACACUAAGGCCUCCAUGGAGGUUCAGUGAUCAGCUAAAGUCAUACAAGGAGAGAAGCUAAGAUCUGAGACAAGAAGGAAUGACAUUGCAUGUAGCCUCUGUAACCUCGUAUACAUGGUGUUGGGACUACAAUUUAGUAUCACCAGGACUGGCCAACCUCAAGCCACUUUCUUGCUUUCUUUCAUGGGGGAGGAUGAAGGGAGAUGCUGAGUGCUGGGACGGCAGCUAUGUACCCCCACUUCUGCAUCUUUCUUGAUUUCUGAGGUCUCAGUCUUCUACUUUAACAGAGAAUCUAACUUUUGAACUGCAAAAACUGAUACGAGGUCCAAGUGGGACAUAUGGAAAUUCAUAGAAAAACAAAACAGGUUGUUUUGCUCUUUCUUUUUAUUAAAGAUUUAUUUUAUAUACAGUAGUGUUUUGGUUGCAUGUGUGGAUAUGCACCACAUAUAUGCUUGGUACCCACAGAUGCCAGAAGAGGGUAUCUGAUCUCCUGGAACUAGACCUAUAGGCAACAGCAAGCAAAGUCAGUGUUCUUAACCACUGAGCCAUCUUUCCAGUGCCUUCUGCCCCCUUGAAACAAGGUGUCAUUAUGUAGCCCAGGCUAGAUUUAAAUUGGAGAGUCUCCUUCCUUAGCCCCCUAGUGCUAAAAGAACAGAUGUGCAUCCAUACAGGAAGCUGGACGAUCUUUUAGCUUAAGAAUAUUUCUAGCCGGGCUGGAGAGAUGGCUCAGUGGUUAGAGCACUGACUGCUCUUCCAGGGGUUCUGAGUUCAAAUUCCAGCAACCACAUGGUGGCUCACAACCAUCUGUAAUGAGAUCUGAUGCCUUCUUCUGGUAUCUGAAGAUAGCUACAGUGUACUCAUAUAUAAUAAAUAAAUAAAUCUUUAAAAAAAAAAGAGAAUGUUUGUAGCCUUAAUAAUCAAUACAAGAUGAUAAGCCAGGAACUGGUGGUGCAUGUUUUCAAUCCCAGAACUGGGAAGGCAGACGCAAGUGGAUCUCUAAGUUCAAGUCUGGUCUGGUCUAAAGAGUGAGUCCCAGAAUAGCCAGGGCUCCACAGAGAAACCUUGUCUUGAAAAACAAAAAACAAAAACGACAAAAAAAAAAUUGUUCAUUGCAAUAUAUUUUAAAUAUUGAGACCAUCUCAAUAAAUACAGAAAAUGAUCUAUCUAUCCAGGAUAUUUCAUUAAAAAGGAAAAAGUAGUAAUGUUAUUUGGACAAGACUGUGACUUUGGCCCAGUGGUAGGGACAUUAGAGCCAUGGACAAAACCCACUGGAACUGCUAUCAAGGAAGAGGCACUUCCCUUUGGGAAGGAAAUGAGCAAUAAAGGAUUGAUGGCUCUCUAGAGAAUGAGUUCCUAGUCUACAAAGGCAAAGAGCAGCAGCUGUAAGACCUUAAUGCCUGUCUCCAUUCUCCAUACCACCCAAAGUCCAGUGUGAGAGAGGUGUCCACCUCAGAUUCCAAAAGCCUCGACGGCUAAAACCCCAUAAUCUCAAAGGCAGACUUAGAAAGUCACCACCGGAAAAGUCACUGUGAACUUGGGCAAGCCGAGUUAAGUCCUGAUCUACACCUUGGUCACAGCACACAUCGGCAUGCUCGGCCAAGGAGAAGUUAGAGAAAAGCCACUGCCCUUCACUGUUGUGAGAGUGUCAUCCAGGAAAUCAACAGUGACUUGCCAGCUUUGAGAUUCCCUGCCCAACCUACAGACUGACAACACUGUGGACUGAGCAGAGGCUGUCGGAAUCUGAGUGGUUUAUGAGAGAGUUGAAGUAGGAGAACAGCAGACGCCCCCUUAAGUAGCCACUCAGAAGCGUUUGCCUACCAGCUCACAGCAAGGCUCAUCUUAACCAGCGUGUGGUGCCCAUCUUAAGUCAUUCAGAGGGAGCCAGCCUAGUAAGGUAGGAACAAAAUAGCACAGCUUUCUCCGUACAGGACUCUUCCUGCAGAGACUGGAAGGCUCAGGUGCACCUAAGAUUUUAAUAUAGAUUGCAGCAGCAUUGCUGUGGUGCACCUAUGAUGGCACAGCAGGCUACCACUGCUGAAUACUUAAGUGUUUCUAAGAUACGAGCUCAGAAUCUGUAAGUGAGGUCUACCUGGCUCUUUACUGACCUCGUCAAACAAGAACCAGGAACAUGCCCACGAUGCCAACACCCAUGGUGCCAGCCUCUACCAGGCACAUAGUUCUGCAUAUGUGCAGCUGACAAACUGAUGGCAGAUGGGCGUUUCCGUGAUUGAAUCAGCAGAGCAAAUCCCUCACAUGGCUUCUGUGAUGUACAGGAGACACAGAAGAGAAUGGGACCUUGUACUGUGCCAUGAACAGGCCGUGCGCGAGGAGGGCUGGUGCCAUUUAGCCAAAGGGCUCCUGCUUAUAGAAGGGACAUCUAAUAAAUACCUCGUUCUGCAAUUAUAAUUAAAAUCAGGCACGGCCAGCAAUGGUCUCUGAGUGAAUGGAACAAGGAGACAUAGGUUAUGAGCUGACGGUUUCCGUUGCAGACCUGCUGAGUCAAAUGACUUUUAGGCUGCUUAUAUGGAAUGCUAUUCUGAGAGGAGACUUAAAUGAGGUGCGAGUGUGAGGUGAUAUGUACCAAGCAGAGGCUGUGGAGAGAAAAAGAAGAAAAGGAAAAUGGCAGCUUGCAGAAGAAACACAUGCACUUCAUUUCCAGACUACAAACAAGUUGAAGAUAUUUGGGCAAUUAUAGCUGGUGCCCCACUGCACAUUCUGGUACAUACUUCGGUACCCAUGAGGCUGCAUUAUUUGAGUUACUAGACAGGACCGUCCCGUCAUCCAGUAAGCAAGGUCAGUGCAUCUUAGGCUUCUACCCACAGUGUCUAAGUGCUCUGUUGGUCUUUAUCUCUGCUAACACUUGGUACUGCCUGGCAUUCUCACUCUAACUGUGAUGACGCCUAUGUAGUUUGUUCUAUAGUAGACUGACUUGCCUUUCGUUGAUAGCUAAGGAGGGUUGCAUGGCACCUUGGUGCAUGUUUUAUUGGUUAUCUGGCUGUCCUCUUUUAUGAUAUACUUCUUAAAAUAAUAUUUAUUAUGGUGAGAGGGUAGGAUUGUGGGGCAGGCACCCCAUAGUAUGCAUCAUCUCAGGACGAUUCUGGGGAGUUGGGUCUCUCCUUUCACCUUUUCGAGGGAUCUGGGGAUUGAACUCAGGUCACCAGGCUUCCACGACAAGCCCUUUUUCCUGGUGAGCCGUCUUGCCAGCCCAUGGACGUUAUCUUUAUAUGGCUCUUGUUUGUGGUUGGCUAACUUCUUGCAGAAGGUUGUUUAUGUUCUGCACGUGAGCAGUUUGUUAGACAUGCUUAUCGGCAACAGUCCUUCUUAUGCGGUGGUUUGCUUUUAAUUUUCUUAAAAGCAAAUCUUUAAGAUUCGUUUGAAGAGACUUUGUUAGAAAGCCUGACUUGUGGCCAUUGUCCACUGUAAGUCACGGCAACGCGCUUUUCCUGAGAACUGCCUCACGACAGUAAAAGCGCAUGCUGUUCAUCCAUCGAGAGGGUGGCGCUCAGAAGGAACUACCCGCAAGCUCCUGCCAGGGGAACAGAGCUGCUCUGGCUCUUGCUCCUCUCUGAGACUGGCUGUUCCUCAACUCUCCCUUUAACAUUUCUCGUUGGCCAAUGUUUAUUUUUGUUGCUGGUAACCAAAGAUGCCAACUGGUUCCUUAACUCACAGUUUCUUCCCUUGAGGGUCUCCAUGCUUACCCAUCACUGUAUUGGCCAUAUUCCUAAUUGUUGGGAUCUGACAGGCAGCAAUUUAAGGAAGAAGGGUUUGGCUCACAAUCUAUGAAGGGCUAUAGGUCCUCAACCUUCCUAAUGCUGAGACUGGUUAGUACAGCUCCUCAUGUUGCGAGGCCUCCAACCAGAACGUUAUUUCCGUUGCUACUUCAUAACUAUGAUUUCACUACUGUUAUGAGUUACAAUGUAUCUGACAUGCAGGGCAUCUGAUAUGCAACUCCUGUGAAAGGGUCAUUCAAGUCCCAGAGGGGGCAUGACCCAUAGUUUGAGAACCAGUGAUUUAGAUGACCAUGGUGGUUGAGUAUGGUAAUCAGGAAGCAGAAAGCUGACAGGAAGUAGUACAGAGUUAUAAAACCUGAAAGCUUAUGCCUCGCCAUCAGUGACCCAUCUCCUUCAGCAUGGCUCCUCCCACUUAAUGGUUCCACAACCUUCCCAAACAGGUGAUGACAGGCUCUGAUACACCAACCUGUAGGGGGGCAUUCUACAUUCAAACCACAAUGGUACCCAGCACAGCCUGAACAAUGACAUUAUAUGAACAGAAAAUUCACCUUCAAGGAAUUCAGUCCUCAUCCGUCCAUGAUUACGGCAGGAUGAGUUUUAAAAACAGGCUUCUGAUAUGUCUAGGAGAAAUAAUAACAUGUUCCCCUCGGUAGGGCACAGAAGAAAGGGGAAAUGCAGCUAACACUGAGCAUCUCCAAUACAGUGCGAGCAUACCAGAACACUCAGUCUUUAGUGAGCACCAGCAGGGACAGCCCGAAGCUGUGCCCAAGGAACAAGUAAGUAUCCUGUCCUAAGGUGGUUAUCAUCAUAAGCGCUGAUUUAUUGAAAUGGAAGGGCAAACAGUAACUAGGUAGCUCAGAGGAGUUCUAAAUAUCAUCUAGCAGGCAGGGAGGCACACGGCUAAGAAACACUGCUAUAACCAGGGACUCAUCUCAGUGAGCGUUCUCUCCAGUCCUCUGGGGCCAGCGCUAAGCAGGGAGACUGACAAAACAGCACAGUCAUGCGUGCCUCUGAAGGCGCCUAAGCUGGUGGACUGUGGAAACACUGGCAGAGGGAGGAGAAUAGGAGGCAUCCCUUGACUGCAUCUCUCUGAAGUGCUUUCAGAACACCAGUGUUGUCGUCUUCAGCCCACCCAAGUAGUGGCAAAGCUUCAUCUCCGGGCAUUGAGUGAGUGUUGAUUUUUUUUUCAGAACAGUUGGAAUUAACGCUGAUGAGCGAACAUCUGAUUUUAAAGGGGCAUCCCAGUAUAGAGUAGAAGUCUGGAUCCGACUGUCUUUUGGCUGGUGUCUGACGGCGAAGCUUGGCUUAAAUUUCCUAAUGUGUCACGGAGGAUUAAUACUGCAUGCCACGGUGAGGUUGAUAGAUAGGAUAACAUAUCUCGAGCCAUUAUGUUUUUGAUUUUAUUAUUGUAAGGAAGAAGGAUGGCUUCUGUCUACUGAAUAUAAAUUGGUUCAGAAAAGACUUCCGAAAUUUAUAAGAUUUAGCCAUUGUUAUGAUCAUUAGUCACCAUCGGGACUGAUAUUUUCUCUGGAUUAUGUGCAAUCCAGAUCAGGCCAGAAAUUAGUUUUAGGCCUGUGAGGGGACAAAGCACAACCACAGCACCCAUGUGAGGACAGGAGGGUGCUUGGUCACAGGGAACCUCUUGGUGUCUGACCACCUCGGAGCCCAGUAUCUCGUGUCCCGUGGAGGGAGACAGAGAAGCCAGGCAGUUUUUCAGACCAGGAAAAAAAGAGUAGAUGGAGGAAGAAGGCACUCUCAAGGAACGCAUGUGCCCAGAAAACGCGAUUCUAUUUGAAUACACAGAGGGGUUGCUGGGAGAGUUAGAACGGGUACCUCUCUCUUCCUGGUAAGAUUUAGUGGGCUGUGUCUUCAAAACUCCAGCCAGCUAUCUGCUGCACAGUACUGGCCGGGUAGAACAGGCUGACCCGACAGAAGAACCAGUUGUGCAUGAGCUCGAUGGCGUUUGCUUGCCCUGCUUCGUGGCCCUGGAAAUAGACUGUCAAAUGCCCCCUAGACUAAGUAACUGGGUCUCAGUGUCUUUAUCGGUAAAAUGAGAGGACUCGUAUUUACUUCCCAGUACCAGGAAAAUUAAAUGAUCUCGGGAGAAAUAGUUAUCACACUGUCUGGUGCAUGCCCCUGCUUGAGUAAGAUGUUCUUACGGUCAUUAUUAUUGGUUUUAAACAAAGGAGGAAAUACCAAAUAUUAGAUCUAAAUUAUAGUUUGAGAGUUUGCUGAAUCUUGAUCAAUUACUGUAUUUUUGAAGGAUGAUGUUUCUUCAAAUAGUUCUUUAGGCUUUCUUUUCAUUUAUUUUUAUAUUAUUAUGUAUAUAGGUGUCUUAUUUACACAAAUAUUUGUGUACCAGGUACAUACAGUGCCUGUGGAGGCCAGAAGGAGUUGGAUCCCCUGGAAUUAGAGUUACAGAUGCUUGUGAGCUAUCUUGUAGGUACUGGGACUCGAACCCAGGUCUUCUGGAAGAGUAACUGGUGCUUUUAACUGCUGCUCUGUCUCUAGCUCCACCCCUUUUCUUAAAUCUAUAUAAAUUUGGAGCAUCACUGAGUUAAGAUAAUUUUUUAAAAGUUGCUUAGUGGACUAUCUAGGCUGUGUGCUCUCAGAGCUGACUGUUCCUCAGACUGGUGCUGUGAAGGAUGAAGUUCUACUAAGUAGUAGUCUUACAAGGUCAAUCUCUGGGCCAUAAAGGAGAUCAAGAGUAAUUUCGUUUUAAUCAUGGCUGCAUAUCCAGAAGGACAAUGACUAUGGGACUUCCUCAGUGGGAAAAACAGGAACUAUUAAUUUUCUCAUUUACUGACUCUUUUGAAAAUAGACAGGAGUUUUCCCAUGGACAGUCAGACAUAAGUGCCAAAGACAGAAAGAGUCUAAGCCAAAGGUGGUGUCCUCCGAGUAUGUUCCACACAGGUCAUCAUCCUCACAGUUCAGAACAGUGGCUCUGUUAAUGAUGGAGAAGGUGUAGGGCAGGAGAAUGUGUACCUAGGUGCCCAAAACCCUGCUCUUUGGCUACAGAAUUCAUUUACUAUUGCAAACCUUUUACAUUUCAAAGUAAGGGAGAUGCUUCAGAUGAUCCUGGAGUGUAGACAGGAUGAAUUCAUAUCCAUAUUUCUAAGACCCAUAUUCAUUUUUUUAUUAUGAAAUGCAACCAUGCAAGCCACCAGACAGAUUGUUUUAAGAAAGCUUUUUUUUAAAAAAAAAAAUCACACAGCUUUGAUGAGGCACGAAUGAUGAACAAGUAAUGAUAAAAUAUGAAUUCAUGCUAGCAUGUAUAUACGGUGCUAUCCUGCAGUGACUACAAAGCCAGCUGCUUACCCCUCAUCAUACCUGCUGACUGUCACGGUUUCACCAUCUGUGGCGAUGACAGACACACUGUCCGUGGACCUUCAUGAUGACUCAUUUAAUUCUAACCCAUGAACCCUAAGGCUCUGUGGAGUUGCAGAUAGACGGGCCAGCAUGAACGGCUUCUACCAGCUCACUGUGGCCAACACAUAAGAGGUGGCAGCAUCAGCAAUGGUGGGGGAGUUUAAGUGACACAGAUCCAAGGAGUCUCAUUGGCUUCCAGGAGUUUUAAGUUAAUUACGCUAUUAUUUACCGUAUGCCAAGCUCUUGGGCCACGGGCUUUAGAUCCAGCAUUGUCAAACCCUCCAUUAGUGUUCCUUGUUUGUGGGUUGGAGGAAUAGGGUUGGAGAGGGUUCCUGACCAUCUGUGCUGUCAGCUCUUUCAUGGCAGAGGUGACAGGAAAGCUCCUGCUUCCUUUCCUGUGUCCUCUUUGCAGGUCCUGUGAUUCACAUCCCUUUUUGACAAGCCUGAAAGUCCUCUGAGGUCAGAUGCCUGUGAAAGGUCAACCCUGGAUCUGAUCUUUCCUCUGAGGUUGGAUGCCUGUGAAAGGUCAACCCUGGAUCUGCUCUUUGACUUUCUAAAGACCAAUUCUUCUGAGUGUCAAGUGUUUCUGUGACUGCCUAUCAUGAAGUCCUCUGGCAACUCUCAUCGGCCUUUCUUCCUCAUCUGUGCCUGCGUUUGUUUAAUGCUUGAUCUGAGCUAAAGGGCAAGCACAUGAGGACUGGGAGAAGGGAAGAAAUUAGCCUAGAACCUAGACUCACUUCCUGGAAGAUGGAGUAGAAUUCGUAUUCUUUUUAACACACUGUAUUUCAAACUACAAAAGCAGGAUGGCAUAAUGCAAGAGCAAUGUGGCAGAAAAAUCUGGGGCCCAGGCUUCCAACACUACAUUCCUGCCUCUCCACCUCUGCUCUACUCAGCUCUCCUUGUCUCCUUGCUAUUUUCCAAUACAACCCCGAUACCAAAAGAUGUCAAACAUGAAGAAAUGUUGGGAAUGGCCGAAAGAGAACAGGUUGUCCUUCAGAAAUAUGUUAAAAAUAAAACAAAACAAACAAACAAAAAAAUUAGCUGGCACACCUUUACUCCCAGCACUCUGGAGUGCAUUGGAGACCAGGCUUGUCUACAGUGUGAGUUCCAGGGUCACACAGGGGAACCCUGUCUCUAAAAACCAAAAACAAAACCCAAACCAAACAAAUCUGACCAACCAACAACCACAGAAACCAUUACAGCGUGCCAGUCACCAUGCACACCCGCACACACGCAUGGGCUGUUAGAUAUUUGCAUCUCCGGACAAUUCUAUAAGAGACGCUGUUAUGAGUUUGAAAUACGAUGGGCAGGAUGAGGUGUGGCGGUUAAAUGACACAGCUGCUGGCUGUACAGUUAGGAAGUGGUUCAGCUGAGCUGUGAAAGCAUUUCCCAUGAGAAGAAAUGGAUCUGCUUCACUACAUGUUCUGAAAAAGUCCACUAACAGGCCAGAGGCUAGGAAAGCCGGAGAGUGUUUACAGCUGACCUUCUCUGGAACUAGCCAAGGGGCAUCAGCUAGGAAAGCACCAUGACCUAGCUUAAUAACUUUGCUUGUGUGAAGGAAGGAACAGCCAUGCUGCUUGGGAAGAUAUGGGCCUUAUGCCUUGGCUGCUUGUCAACUCAAUUACUUCUUGGUCUUUGGCCAACAUGACACCGUACUGCCUCUACCUAAAUGAAUAGGCUACAUGGAUGUCUGUAGUGGUUGUGCAGCUAGGUGUAAAGCCACCAGGCACACCUUCCAUUCUUGGCUGAAACCCCUUCCUGUCUAUAAGGAAGGGAGAUCAUGUGUUUUGUCUUAGUCACUCUGCUCGUCCUGAAGUGGCUCAGGGAAGUGGCUCAGAACGUGGCUAGAACUUAAUCUGUUUAGCGUGAGUGUAUGACCAAGCUCAUAGACAUUUCUGUACCAGUGGGUGUUGGUGAAAAAACGACACCAGCAACAGCCAGACAGACAACUAACUCUGUCUUUAGACCUCUUUAGAGAGAGAGGACUACAAGGGAAACAACCAGUUUUACCUGCCCUAACACUUAUCUGGGUUUGAUCUUAAAAUAAAUGGGAAUGGCCUGGGCUUCAAGAGUCUAGAGAUGUCAGGCUUCUGACUGAACCCUAAUGUUUAGGCAACGCCCCUCGGGUGUUUCCUCUGAACUGGAAGACUCAGGGAGACCAAAGGAGGUGAGUGAGUCCCUCUAAGCUUCUCUUCCUGAAGGAUAACAGUCCAUCACUCCUCCAAAGUAAGGGCUCUCACCCUUCCUUCCAGGUAUCCAGACAAACCUUAGGGCUUAGACUCAAAAUGAUCCCUUCGGUUUUUUGUUUGUUUUCAGGUACAAUGGGUAGGAUUAGCUAUGAUUUCACAAGUCAUUCUUCUGUAUUUACUGUAGCUGCACAGAGUUAUAGAGACCUGCCAACCAAGUCGUUUGAAAACAGAAAUACUUUUCUGCUUGUUUCUACCUUUUUGGUUGUCUUAUUUUAAAUGUGAGCAUCCUUUCAUUCAAUACUUCCCUUAAGAAUUCUGCUUAGGGGGUUGGGGAUUUAGCUCAGUGGUAGAGCGCAGCGUAAGGCCCUGGGUUCGGUCCCCAGCUCCGGAAAAAAAAGAAAAGAAUUCUGCUUAGUUGAGGACCCUGCUGAACACAAUUACCAAGGCUCAGUCCUGUCUUUCUCCAUCUCCCUCCCCUCACCCUCUCCCUACCUUUUCUCUUCUGACACUCUUGUUUGAUCGUCCAAGGCCCUGCUUCAUAAUUUCUGACCCAAAAGCCUUUCAGUACAGCCAAGGAAAAUGAAAACCUGCCUAACGACCAGAUCAGUGAUGGGAAUCUGGAGGCUGUAGGUCUGAGGUCAAGGAGGAAAAAGACAAGGGAAGCAAAGCCUCACACCCUUGAGUGUGUGGCUAAUAGAUCCUUGUGGAUCUUCCUUCCAUACAGCUCGGUGCACACAGCGAUUCACCUCAUUUCCAAGUGGCUCUACACAGAUAAAUGACGGUAAGCACAUCCGACGGGGACACUCCUCAGAGUCCCCAGUCACAUGAAAUUUAAAGACAAUCUGCUGUUCUGGAACUCUUUCUAGACCAGGCUGUUCUGGGACUUGAGGUCCACCUGCCUCUGCCUCCCAAGUACUGGAAUUAAGGGCGUGUGUUACCACCAUCUCUGAGAAAUCGCUUCAAGUUUCUCAUUAUUUAUAUGAUGGACUUAAAAUCCCCACAUUAACUGUCAAAGUCACUACUGGCCAGGACAGGCCAUGGGUUUCUGGCCUGGGGCACACUGCAGAGCCAAGGACAGCAGUUUAAGGGAGACCAGGGGACUCAAGGUUGCAAUAAUGAGACAUGACAACUUACAAAAGAUACAAAUGUGGACUGCUUUGAAAUGGUAUGUUUUGGCUUUAGUAUAAAAAAACCAAUUCAAUUAAAAUUUUUGGUGGGAAGAGGUACUAGACUUAAACCCAAGGCCUUGCUUGCUUGCUCAUGCUUUGCAAUUACCACUAAGCCCCUCCCCUCCCCCACAAGUGCAUUUUUAGCAAUAAUACCCCCUAAACCCAGUGCUCUUUCUAAAAAAGGCUCAAGGUGCUGGGUUUUGUUUUGUUUAAAGAUUUAUUUAUCUAUUAUGUAUACAGCAUUCUGAUUGUAUAUAUGUCUGCGGGCCAGAAGAGGGCACCAUAUUUCAUUACAGAUGGUUGUGAGCUACCAUGUGGUUGCUGGGAAUUGAACUCAGGACCUCUGGAAGAGCAGUCAGUGCUCUUAACCCCUGAGCCAUCUCUCCAGGCUUUGAAGUGAAAAACUGGGCUAUAAGAAUGAUAAUAAUCACACAGUGUAAUAAAACCAAUUAAGCCAAAACGAUUGUUAAAGUCCAUACUUUGCCGUUCUUCCAGAAGACCCAGGUUCUAUUUCCAGCUCAUAACCAUCUGUAACUCCAGUCUAAGGGAAUCUGAAGCCUACUUUAGGCCUCCAUGGUACCAGGCCCACAUGUAGUAUAUGGAUAUAUGUAAAAGCAAAUCGCAAAUAUAUAGUAAUAUUUCGAUUAAGGUUUACUAAUUUUAUUCAUUAUCCCAGAAAGAACUAAAAUUAGCUCCAAAAUCCAGAGUGUUCCUUGUCCCCAACAGAUACACCAAGCUGCAGCCCUGAGUAAUAAAUGGGGUGUUUGGGAAACCAGCCCUGAAGUCUACACCACUCGCUGACUGAUCUUUCUCCCCAGAGUUCCCAUCACAACACCCCCAGCCCAUCCAAAAAACCAAAACGAACCUCUCCAUUCCUCACUCUUUCUUAGCUCUUUUCAGUAACCAACACAGGCAUCCUUUUGGUCAGGAAAACAACCCUGGCCUGGUCUGGCUUCUCCAAACUCAACGGCCAUCCAGAAGCUUUCCCUAUUUCUCUCUGUUAGCAAAAAGAAUUAAAGGAAGUUUCCAAAUGUGGCCAUGGACAGAUAGCUCUCAAAAGAAAUGCCUCACUUAAGAAAAUGGAGGGAAAUGUUCUGGUGUGCUAUUUAUUGAUUAUAGAUUAAGCCUCCGCUCCUUCCCUGCCUUACACCUCUUUAAGGGACAAAGGAUUUGAGAUGUCCCUCCAAUCAGAUUAAGAUUUCUCCCUGCCUGCCCAGGAUUCUGGUGAAGAAGUUGCUUCAUUGAAUUGUCACAGAAAGAAAGCAGCUGUCUCCCAGACAAUGAAGUUACUGGCGCUCAAGCCUUUCCAGUAGGCAGGGACAAAGCUGGCAGAAUUCAACCUGUUGCUAUAGUAGCAGGAAGAAUGUGAUUCUGGCAGCUCUGUGAGAUCAAGAUCCAAAUCCCUCCAGCUCCCAGAGAGAACAUUAACCCUUCCCUGCCCCUGUCCAGGGGCAGAAAUACUUGGGAAGAACCCUGCUUACCUCAGUGCUGGAUGCAGUCCUCUUGGCAUCCAAUCAUGCCAUCCACCCAAUGCCCAUUGAUUUACACGCCCUUAUGCAGGUCCUGUGCUUUCAUGGAAAGCAAGGCAGGCAUGGCCUUUGGCAUUAAGCAUGAAGGAGGAGGUGGAUAUUAAGUUAUUGCUAAAACCACAACACAUUAUGCAGUAUCAGUAAAGGCAUUACCAGAAAACAAUCUAUGUAAGAUAGUCAGAGUAUUCAUUAGUUAACAGUAGACUGUAUGUUCUGGGUGAGGGAAAUGACUUGAUAACUUGCCAGUGUUAAUUUGAAAAAACAACAACACUAGAAAUGUCUGCCCCAGUGCUCUCAUGCCUCCCACAAAUUAGUUUAAAUAAGCCAUUUAAUUAAAUCAAGCUUUUGAUUUAUAAGAGUAGCAAAAUUACAGUUAGGAAGUAACAACAAAAAAUAAUUUUAUGGUUGGGAGUCACCACAACACGAACUGUAAUAAAGUAUUGUAGCAUUAGGAAAGUUGGGAACCACUGUGUUAGAGAAUGAUGUCACACAAGUGCUGAACAUGAGGCCAUGGUCCCUCGUGUAUAGUUCCCGGCAGGCAACAGAAAUGCCAGAUAGUACUUAGAAAAUACACAAAGAAGCAGUGUCCAGGCUCUCUAAAACAGUUCCCACACCCCAGUUCAUUUCUGUGGUCAAGGUACCAAUGAAAAACCUUUGGAAAAUACACCUUAGAAAUGACCUAAGUCUAAUCCAGACUUCUUUCCUUACACUGAGAGUGGAAAUCUCAGGUUGUCGGACACGCCUCCUUGAUCAACUUCCUCAUUUCCCACGGAGCACAGACACAGGAAAUCGGAGUUUUCUCAGGAGGCUAAAAGCAAGUAGGUAGUGUUUAUCCCAUAAGCUAUCAGUGAAACAAGACAGCAGCAAUCAGACUGCUAAGCAAAAGAGCUGAGAAGAGAGGGGGUUGGGAGACUGCUUGCUGGGCGAGCAAAAGAAGAGGUUUAAUUUCAGUCAGAGGCCUUUUCUCAAAAAUGAAGGUGGCGACUGGGUGGAGUGGAACAAGCCAGCCCUUGGGAGGCUGAGGCAGAUCUCUGUGAGUUCAAUGUCCUUGGCAUCUCAGUUGUGCUGGGCUGCAAGGUAAAUCUGACCAGAGCACACUGAAGCAAAACCACGAAUGUCACAGGCAAAGCUUAUCAACUAGUGGCCUCAACUAAAAUCUUCGGGCCAAGGAUAUGAUCUAAUAGCCAGCUCCGGGAAGGUCACGAUGUAGCUUCAGCUGGCAUUGAAACACUGAUUUCCUACCUCAACAGGAGGCUCAGGCUACCGUUAGAGGAGGGAAGAUGAACUCCCAGGAUAGGACACUCAUCCACAACACCUGAGUUAGGAUCUGGGAGAAGAGCCCAAGAACCAGACUUGAUAGAAACUGGUCACUUUUUACCCUGAUGUAAUAAAUGACAAGGAAUGUCAUAGGACCUGGAGUAAUGAUGUCACCUGUUGCUACUCUCCUGGAGUUGGAGAAGAGACAGCCAACAGAGUGACCUGCAUGCUUAAGACGUGGAGGACAAGGUGGGUGGAAAUGGAGACAUUGCGGAAAGAUUCCAGCUAAUUCUUGGCACCACUCUUUAGGAAACCUCAUCAGAUAGAUCCCAAUGGAGUCUGAUGCUACUUCUGCAUGACCAGGCGUAAAAAGAUUCGCUCCGAAGGCAGACCUUGUCUGUCUCUUGGCUGCAAAGGGAUUCAACAAUGGCUCCUUGAUCCUUUCCAAAGAAGGAAAUGGUGUGGUUUCUACACAUGCCCUUUCCCCAUAGAAGGUUGAGGAACUAGGCACUAUUAUCUGCCUCAGGCACACCUUCUAUUGAUUUUAUUUUAUUUCUUGAGACAGGGUUUCUCUAGUAGCCCUGGAACUUGUUAUGUAGAUAAGAUUGGCCUCGAACUCACAGGUAGCUGCCUGCCCCAGUACUGGGAUUAAAGGUAUGUCUAGCCUGUGGUUAUCUGUGGCAACAAUUGACAUAUCCAACCCAGGAGCUCACCUGUAGGGUAAGAGUUAAAAUAGUGUUUGCUUUUCCUUAACAUGUAAUAGAAAUAAGAGAGCUCUGAGAAUUUACCUCACUAUACCAUAGAUCUAGGGUCCUAUUUCCUUCUUAAUGCCUAGGACUCAUGAGUGCAUUCCCAUGUUCUCAGCUCCAGGAAACACAAGGGUAAAUAUUAUACAAUUCUAGUUAUCAAUCCGGACCUGUGAGCCACCCCCCCCCCCAUCUAGCAUCAGGGCCAAUGUGUUUUCUCUGAAGACAAUAAUAAAGUGGAUUUCUACAGCUAAAAUUAGAGUCAGUAACAAAGUUGGAAACACCAAAUGUUACUGACUUAAGUACUGGGCAAACUAGAAUCAUUCCAUUUGCAGUAAUAACAAUCCAGUGGAUUGGCAAGACCACACAGUUACUGGCUUUUAACCUUGGCCAAUCCAGACUUUUGUGAUCUACAGAUUCUAAGCCCCAUAGACAAAUAACUGAUGAAACACCCUAACACAAGAUACAGGCCAUGUUGUUAAAAUCAUUAUGGUAGUGGGAACACUCAAAUUGAGGACACCUCACCCAACACCAACAUAACAGAAUUCCAUGUGCUGACCAAAUCAAUUCUGUGAUGACAUAGAUUAGUUGACACAAAAUUGUGUGCAGGAACUAGGGCCAGGUAGAUAAAAUGUAUAAGUUAGCUGUGAGUUACAUAAAAAAAAAAAAGAAAAUCUAAAUUCUAUCUUAAAACAAGAAGCCCUUGUUAUUGGUCAUGGGUCUAUGGGGGGGGGGGGUUUGUCUGCUCUGUCCUGGGUCAUUCAAGUGUCUGGACAGCUGGCUAGUACAAUCACCUGGCGGAAGUGUAUCACUGUAAGCCAUUCAUGGAACAUCUAUUGCAAGAGAGCAAGCACAAUUGUAUGAAGUCUCCCAAGAUCUGGACUAAGAAACACACACUUUACUCCCACAUUUCAACUGGCCAAAUCAAGUAAUGAAGCCAAGUCUAGAUUGGAAGUCUGGGAAAAACAAACAGCGCCACUUGGCAAAAAGGAGUCACAAAACCAUGUUGCAGUGGAAUAGAUUCAAAGACAAUGACUGGAUCUAUUUUUUUUUAAAUUGCAAUCAAUUUAUUACACAGUAUAGGAGAAAAAUGUCAUUCCAGCCAUGUGUGAUUCCCAACCAAGGGUCAUCAUUUUGACUUUCCUCUAGAAAAGAUACAAGGUUCUCAGAUUAAAGCUUCAUCCUGGGGCUGGAGAUGGCUCAGUGGUUAAGACCACUUGUUGCUCCUGCAGAAGACCCAGGUUCAGCUCUCAGCACCCACUGUCUGCAACUCUAGCUCUAGGGAUCCAACACCUUUUGGCCUCUGAAGUCACUGCAUACAUAUGUUAUACAUUAAUUCAGGCAAAAUAGUCAUAUGUAUAGAAUAUUCUUUGCUGGGCAGUGGUGGUGCAUGCCCUUAAUCCUAGCACUCAGGAGGCAGAGGCAGACUGGGUUCUCUGUGAGUUCAAGGCCAGCCUGGUCUAAAGAGUGAGUACAGUCAAGACUAAACAGAGAGACCCUGUCUUGAAAAGAAAAGCCAAGCCCUCCCCCAGACCUCCGGAAGCUUCAUUUCUUUCCACUUCUGCCUGUGCUUUGCGUAUGCACGCACACACCUUAAAGUCUUUAGGACCUCAGCCUUGCACCAAACAAGAGCCAUCUGGUUGCACCUGAAGAUGUACGGGACCUGUAUGUUGUCAGGGCAAACCUGUUUCUCCUCGGCGUCUCUUCUUAGCUUGGGAUGGAAAUAUAGAUGGCAUUGCGGAUGAGAGCUACAUCCUUGGAGAAGCUUGGCAUGAACGUGGAGCCCCAGGGCUUAGGAGGUAAUGCUACCUGAAGCAGAUGACAGGUAGGAGCUGCAGGCAGCCUGGGGAAGAAGGAAGCUGGAGCUUGCUGUAGACCAUAGGCUGAUAGUUACUCUACUUUAUUGGAGGGCUGCUACUGCCACUAGCUACCUCCUCACGCUUUUUCUCGGCCUCACUCCUCUUUGCCCCAUGGUCACUACUUAGGCAAAAGCUACCUGGUUACAUCUGCAAACUGUUUUUCUUGAUCUAGGUCCCGACGUGUAUACAGCUGGCAGUUAUUAUAUGGCAUCCCCACAAAGUACGGCAUGGCUUCUGUUUUGUUUUGUUUUGCUCUGGAAUAAUCACCAUGACCUUUUGGACACUGUCACUCGCCAUCGCCACUGGAAUGCUUUAAUUUCCAGACUUGUGAGGUCUGGACAGCAUGGGGUGGAAGAAGAAGGAAUUCCAGAAACCAGAUCACAGCAUAAUAGAGGAGACAGCUCUACUGGGAAAUGCCUGAAGGCUCCUUGGAGGGAAUUCUUCAAGUGAGAAGGAGACUACACAACUUUCUCAGAAACAAAGCUGCCUUGAGUUGAUCGCCCAACUCUGACUUACUAACGUAAGUCUAGUUUUCAACCUGCCGAGUAGGGUCAACCCUUAUAAGACCAAGCACCGGGAGUGUAAAACACAAGAGAUGGGAAAUUCACAAUGAAGAAGCCUCAGAAGAGCCAAAUUGAGCAAACACAGCAUCCAAUUUGUUUCAAUACAAAAACCUGGGUCAUUAAAACACCAACGAGAAGAGUCCACUACACUCUUCCAAAAUGCAUUCUGUCCCAGAGUUCCAGUUCUGGAGAAAGACAGGUUUGACAGGGAGUGAUAUAAUUUUACCAUAAGGUGAAGUAUUCAGUGUGUGGAUGCUGACAGAGCCAGAAAGUCUCUCAGUGCCAAGCACUGUCUGGGUUGGCUCGGUAAUCAUCCAUUUGCUCUCUGUCAUAAUUGGACAGUCACAGAUUUAAACCUGUAAUUUCCAGGUAAAACCACUCUGCCACUGGGUUUCUCACUUCCGCUUCUCAACCACUUGGCGUCAAAACAAGUGCCGUUCUUGGAUCAGAAGAUGAAGAGCUGGCUGACUGGGAGGCAGUCAGUCACUCUCAGCUUCUAAUUAGCCGAGGGGAAGCCACGCGGAUAAGGAAGCAAACAUCUGGCAUUACCACUCCAGGAACACCGAUAAUGACAAUGAAGGCAGGCUACCAACUCCUCAGCCAAAGGCACACGGGACUUCCUACAGACCGGAGGAGGAGCAUUUCACAGGGAUCCCCUCCCCCUCAACUCUCACAAACCAGCAGGAGACUCAAGUGCUCUCCUGGCCUCAUUAGUUUCCUAGUUUUGUUUUUAGCUGCUCAUUGCUGCUCAAAAGCCCAGGUAUGUACGGUAGAGGCAGCUCCUUGUACAGAAUCCCAGUGCCGCCUCCACCGAGAUGCCAAAGAAUGAUGCAUUUGGCACCUGAGCCUGUGCCAGACGUCCACAUGUAUCACGCAGGGCGCCUCAGCUUAGGGCCAUUUCAAUCGUGGUUUCUGUUCUGCUUGCCUCUCAGCUCAGCGUCUUCCCACUCUAAUGCAAUCACGAGAUAAUUCCUCAGGGCUGGUGAGAGCAUAUCGUGUCUAGUUAACUUCACCGCUUGCCUUAUUUCGCCUUUAACACACUGUUCUUUUAUUUCCCUCUCCCAGGUAUUAGCUGAGGCUGGACCAGGAACCGGAGGCAGCAGCUUUAUUCCUUUGAAUGCUACGGCUCGUUUUCAGAAUAACUGAAGCACAGCUAACAAUGCACUAUUUGAUCGCUCUGAAUGACUCUCACCCACAGCACUGGGCGAGAGGAGCCCUUGGCCAGAGCUGCACACCAGAAACCUGUUUCCCAGCCUCUUCCAUUAGCCCGCCGACCCUUUCCUCAGAGCCCUCAGCAUACUGUACAAAGAUCUCCGUUCUCUCCCUUAAAUAUCACGGGAAGCUCACAUCAAAACACCAGACCCUUUUCUUCCUGGAAUGCUGCCAAUUUAAUACUUUCAGGCUCACAUAAAUUUAAUUAAACUCACUUAUCUUUUAAGCUCCCCCAUCCCCCAAACCACCUCUUGUCACCUCUCCACAGUAAAACCUUUCAAAAUAGGACUUUCUCUUUGCUUUUCAGCCAAAAAUGUCAUGCAGGCUUUACUUUAAGGCUAUAGCCAUCAGAUGUGCGCUACAAUAAGUCAGUCAGUAGGACCCAUGCAUUAAAAUGCCCACAAGCCCUUGA